This 229-nucleotide ribosomal RNA is filed under the name uncultured bacterium. RNAcentral describes it as "partial 16S ribosomal RNA". It matches the Rfam family "Bacterial small subunit ribosomal RNA", at positions 568 to 796 of the family's 1533-position model. The record is from RNAcentral.
UACGUAGGCGGAAAAUUAAGUCAGUAGUGAAAUCCUGCAGCUUAACUGUAGAACUGUUAUUGAUACUGGUUUUCUUGAAUAUAGUUGAGGUAAGCGGAAUGUGUAAUGUAGCGGUGAAAUGCUUAGAUAUUACACAGAACACCGAUUGCGAAGGCAGCUUACUAAGCUAUGAUUGACGCUCAUGCACGAAAGCGUGGGGAGCAAACAGGAUUAGAUACCCUGGUAGUCC